AGAGAAAUCGCCAUCAAAACAUUAAAAAGUACGGGUUUCAAGCUUUAAAAUGGUUUUUUAAACAUUAUUUUGCGAUUAUUUUUUGCGAAGAUACGUAAAUUUAAACUUGACUUUUUUUACACUGAUUUUAAGUGUUCCUUUACUUUUGUUGCAAAAUGUAUUUAUUUUAUUGGAAUAUAUUCUCAUAUUUAGAAACUUUAUUCAUUAAAGUUUACUGUGGGACUUUUCUAGCAAGAAACAUAAAUUGACACAGGAACUAUUCCGUCAAAGUUGUGACGCAGAAUAGCGCGAUGACGCGAUAUAAAAUAUAUUGUAUAAAAUAAUUAUAAAAGUAAUUAUUAAUUUAGUUAUUAGAGAUUAAAAAAUGUAACUAAGUUAAGUUACAGUUACUGAAAAAAAAACUCUAACUGUAACUUCGUUAUAAGUAAUGAGUUACUUUACAACCCAAAGCCAUGAAUAUAUAAACUAUAUAGAGUUUUUUUCACUUAUUUAAAUAGGUCAUGUUUUUAGCAGUAUUAAUACAGUUCAAUAUUUUCUAAAAAAUAAGGGGGUGUAGAAUACAAUACCAAUAUUGGCGUCCUUCUUCUAUUUAUCUUUUCAUCUUCAUUUACUAUUUAGAAUUCAUAAUUGUUAUCGGCAUUUGUCCUACAAAUAUGUACAAUCGGUAAUAUGAAAAUUACUUUUCCUUAAAAACCGCAGGUUAAAAUUUUGCAACAUGGCAAAUUGCAAGCGAUGUUGGAAGCAAUUUGCAACAUGGAGCAAGAAGAAAAUAAGUUUACUUGACGGAAGAACAACGCCCUUUCCGAAGAAAACUGGAUGACAAUCGUGAUAGAGAGGGCGAGCAAAGAAAAUGAGCGUCUCGUCAUCAGAAAUUAAUGCAGGGUGACACGGGGUGGCGUUGCUAUUGUCCUGGAUUCGUAGGUCGGUACCAUCAGGCAGUUCGUACAGUAACCUAAGGGAGGAAUACGAAUACGAAAAAAUUCAGAUGUGAAAUUUUCAUUUCCGCCGCGGCCCACCAGCUCGGAAGAAAUACUUCCUGGACGGGGUACUGACGAUGUCCGACGUCGUCCUGUGUGUCCCACCGUUUGCGGCGGUAUCCGGUGAAAACUUCGACUUGGGUAACUCGAUGUAGCGGUUCGGUGCACCGUACCAGCGGAUCACCGGAAGCUUUUAUUGUUUUACAAGUUUACUGCGAUUGUCCCGGAAUCGGUCGGCCGCCCCACGGCCGAUUUGAUUGCCUUGAGGACGACCAUCGCAUUUUCCGUCAAGACUUUUCGCGUGGUCGCCCUCGCACUAUCCAAAGAGGAAAGGGAGGGAAUCGUACACACACGCCAAUUUGAAAGAAAUCUUAAAUUCAUCAUGAUUUUACUUCUCACACCGAUUUUAUUUCACAAAAACAUUUCUGCGAUAAAAUUAAAAACCGUUUUUAGGAAAAAUAAAACAUGUUUUUGGCAUGUUUUCAUGCAAAAGAUGUGAAGCAUGUAUCCAUCGAAUCUUAUUUCAAGACUAUUUUAAAUAAUACCUUAAGAUUUCAAUACGGCUCUGUGUUAGUUAAUAAUAUCUUAAGACGUAAGCUGAUACUUGAAUAUAAGAAUCGAUUAUGAACGUCAAUCAUAAAGAUGUUUUAUCUAUAUAAGCUAAAAAUCAAAAUUUUAAAAUUACAAGCUUGUAGGUAUAUUCCUUUUUUUCUAAACAAUCAAAAAUUUUAAUCGUAAAUAUUUUAAUAUCUAUAUUUUGUUGUUUGUUACCCCGGAAUAAAAUGAGAAGGCUAUUUUUGUGUUGGAACGUUGUAGUAAUGUUGCUGCAAACUUCUAUGUUCUAUGAAAUCCCAACAAUUUUUACACACAAAUCUUGCUAAAACCUUCGAACAGCUUCAAAAACUAUGGAAAACAAACUCAAUACUCUUCUCCUCAGUCUGGAACAGCGCAUACGCGUGUACGCUUUAUGCUCUGCAUAAAUUAUAGCGUGAUUAAAUUAGGAUGAUAUCGUGGAAACGUGACGCAAGAUGAGUAACGCGAGCGGGAGCGUCUUCCUGCCGACUCCAGGAUGUCGAGGCGGCACUCCCACGGGAGAUCGUUAACGUGUAUGUAUAUGGGGUUGACAUACAAACAGACGGGUGGUGUUGUAAUUAACCGCAAUCAUUGACGGUAAACAUACAACGGUUCGCCUCCCACGGGACGUCGUUGACCGAGGCCACCGGACGAGCACGCUCCCGUUGGCAUAAGGAGUGCACCGUAUUCGUGAUCAAUAUUUAUGACCGAAAUCCAAGGGUGAAUCCACGGCACCAUGGGCAUACAAUCGUAUCGCGUUUGUGUGCCCGCGCGGUUACGAGAACCGCGGUCAAUAUUUAUGAUUGGUAACAUCCCGAUUGAUAUGUACGGUUGUGCGCGCAUGUGCGUUCUUAAUAAGCACGUUGCGCUUGUCAGAGAGCUUAACUCUGUCAUGUAAUAAAACGUCGAGUGCAUCGGAAAAUAAUCGAGACGUUCGUAUGUACUAGAUAUCUAGUAAUAACUGUACAAUCUCUCAUAAGUAAAUAAAAUGAGGUUACUAUAUAUAUAUUUUUUUUUAAUUAAGUUUUGAGCCAGUUUUAUUUUUUUAUAAAAUACGUCUGAAACACGAGAAAUGAUAAUUCAUACGAAAGUAUACAAUGAUUUAUACUAGUGUUAUUUUAUAGUAUUUUAUUCUGUUUAACAAAUUGCAUAAUAGAUAAACUAAGAUUUAAAAAUGUUUUCAAUGCUUGCCAUUCUUUUUUUAUUAAUGGUACCUAAAACUUAAAUAAGCAAUUCUUAUUUUGCUGAGAGAUUUAAUUAUAUUUUUCAAAAUAAAUCUUUUUAAGUUUUGUCUGAAUUCCAAUUUGAUUGCAAAUUAAUUGUAGUUCAUGAAAAACUUUGGAUGAUCAAUAUAAUUUGAACAUUUUCCGUUAUUUAAUAAAUUCUUUUAAUCUGAAAUCAAUUAACGUCAUAUUUAUUGAAGAAGUUAUAACAUAUUAUAAUUGGCUUUGUGUCAAUAAUUCAAAAAUAACAAAAAGUUAAACAGACAUAAACACAAGCAAGGAGGAAAAGAAGAAGGAAAAAAAGAAUUUUCUGCCCUUUCUUUAAAUUUUGACAAAAAAAAUGAUUAAAUGAGAAUGAAUUUUAUGACGAAAAAUUAAACGCUUGCUAAUACGUGGAUCAUGCUUUAUUCCUUAAAAAA
Molecule: long non-coding RNA, 3192 nt
Filed under: Monomorium pharaonis (pharaoh ant)
Lineage: Eukaryota; Metazoa; Arthropoda; Insecta; Hymenoptera; Formicidae
Description: uncharacterized LOC118644816
Source: RNAcentral